This 253-nucleotide ribosomal RNA is filed under the name uncultured bacterium. RNAcentral's name for it is "partial 16S ribosomal RNA". It matches the Rfam family "Bacterial small subunit ribosomal RNA", at positions 524 to 776 of the family's 1533-position model. The record is from RNAcentral.
UACAGAGGUCCCGAGCGUUGUUCGGAUUCAUUGGGCGUAAAGGGUGCGUAGGCGGCGGGGAAAGUCUGAUGUGAAAUCCUGGGGCUCAACCCUGGAACUGCAUUGGAUACUUCCUUGCUAGAGUACUGGAGAGGAAACUGGAAUUUACGGUGUAGCAGUGAAAUGCGUAGAGAUCGUAAGGAAGACCAGUGGCGAAGGCGAGUUUCUGGACGGUCACUGACGCUGAGGCACGAAGGCCAGGGGAGCAAACGGG